AGCAGGAUGGUCAAGUGGUUAAGGCGUUGGACUUAAGAUCCAAGUGACAAAUGUCCAUGUGGGUUCAAACCCCACUCCUGGUA
RNAcentral lists this transfer RNA (83 nucleotides) under Pelobates cultripes (western spadefoot toad). RNAcentral's name for it is "tRNA.Leu". It matches the Rfam family "tRNA". Rfam says of the family: Transfer RNA (tRNA) molecules are approximately 80 nucleotides in length. Their secondary structure includes four short double-helical elements and three loops (D, anti-codon, and T loops). The record is from RNAcentral. Lineage: Eukaryota; Metazoa; Chordata; Amphibia; Anura; Pelobatidae.